Molecule: long non-coding RNA, 848 nt
Organism: Phacochoerus africanus (Common warthog)
Lineage: Eukaryota; Metazoa; Chordata; Mammalia; Artiodactyla; Suidae
Exons: 2
Source: RefSeq, a predicted model, not a curated record
UCCACCCUCCUCUCUCUUGGUGCCUCCGAUUGGCUGAACCCAACUGAAGCCAGAAGGCAAGGGUGCCCAGUGAAGUCAUCCUCAAAGUCAGCCUCCUGGGGGGAGAAGGACAGAAAGAAGUUCUGGAGGAGUAAAUAGACGUGCCCAGCACAAUGCGUUAACCAGUCUGGCUGUCUGAGUGCAGCUUCUGCUCUGGAGUUCAGGGAUCAUCUCUUCUUCUACAGAAAACAUCUGCGAGAGUAAAUGACGGAGAUGAAAGAUCUUGGCAAAGGGCUAUUUUUCUUUGCUUGGCUUAAAGGGGGCCAGAUGAAGCCUUCAGCCUCACCCUUGUCCGCCCCAGCCUGACUCCCUCCCCCACCUCCCAGGGAGGAGAGAAAUGGGAUCUGAAUGAAGACAGACCAGAAGGUGGCCCAGCCGGCCCCAAGUCCCCAGGCAGGGGAGGUUGUUUUUCCAGUGGAACAGGCUGGCCUGGAGGAAAAGGCCGUGGAAAGAAGACCAGCAAGCUUGGGCUUCUGCAGCUGCUGCCGCCCGCCGUGUUUUUCGUGCCGUCUCUCUGCUCUCUCUGCCCUCACACGCUCCGGGCAGCACGACCUCGUCCGCAGCAGACUGUUCUGGGCUCUGGAGCUCAUCACGGAGGAGACACUACCCCGCCCCUCGCUUCCCUCCUUCAGGCUCCUCUCUCCUGAGGGCUGGGGACCGUUUCUCAGGGAGUCCCAGCCGAGGAGCUGUGUGGUUUUGGAUAAGUUAGGAACUUCUCCAAUCCUCAGUUUCGCUGUCUGUGAAAUGGGGAUAAUGAUACCUACUUCACACAGGAUGAGAUGAAACAACAAAGCACGCUCCACACGAAA